Molecule: transfer RNA, 65 nt
Filed under: Anthonomus grandis (boll weevil)
Lineage: Eukaryota; Metazoa; Arthropoda; Insecta; Coleoptera; Curculionidae
Description: tRNA-Pro
Source: RNAcentral
CAGGAAAUAGUUUAUAGAAAAUAUUAAUUUUGGAGAUUAAUGAAAGAGAAAUUCUCUUUUCCUGA